RNAcentral lists this non-coding RNA (94 nucleotides) under human gut metagenome. RNAcentral describes it as "THF riboswitch". It matches the Rfam family "THF (Tetrahydrofolate) riboswitch aptamer". Rfam says of the family: THF riboswitch presents a pseudoknot that joins P1-P2 and the loop of P3 and two THF binding. The record is from RNAcentral.
CAGAGUAAACAUUCAAGCGUUAAGUGUCUUACGGACGGGGAGUUGCCGUAAGGACGAAGGAUUUUUCCCGCGGUUUGAUUGUUGCAUCCCGCUG